CGCACUGGGCUCCAACCGGGUCAGCCCCGAAUAUCCCAUCCGUUCCUCCCCGAUCCAUGGGGCUUCCUAGCACCGAGGGGUACCUCGCGGCUCACACGCCUCGUGCGAAAGAGAGACGAGACGCGGCCGCGGUCACAAGAGACGGCCAGAACCGCGCGGCGCCGCCGUCGCCGCCGCCGUCGCUGCUAACUCCGUCGGAUGCCUGCUUCCUCUUCUUCCUAGGGAAAGUUGGCCUUCUCCCUCGAGGCACACCCCCCCUCCAUCUUCAUCUAGGGUUUCUCAAUAUGGCCGCCGCCGAUCCGCCGUUCGCCUCGUCCUCCCCUGCGAGCUCGCCAAGCACACCGUCCCUGAUAGCCACGCUCCUCUCCCCUUUCCAGUACCACCGCUGUGAGAGGCCCUCCCUGUUGUUCCUCUGCCUGCUUCCCCAUCACAUUCGUCCUCCCCCUAUUUGAAAAGAGAGUGCGGUCAUGUGGCUUCGGAGCGAAAUGGAUGAGUUGCCUACCUAGAAGAGGGAUGCGAUGGAACUGAAGUGAUGCAUGUGUGUCAGCGUCGUUGCGAAACUGAAACUAUGCUGGGAAGCAGAAACCGAAUUUAAGUGAUGUUUGUGUUGCACCCUAGGUGUUGUUGGUACAUGCUGAUGCAUGCCUGUGUUUGACAUAUGAUGUUUAAACUAUGAUUUGAUCGUGUUGUAUGGCCUUUGAUGUUCUUAGUUUAGACACCAUUGAUCUUAAAGAUUAUGAUUUGUUGGUUUUAGUAGUACUUGAUGAUAUGGCCACUGAUGCUUCAGCCUGUACAGUAGUAAAGAUCGGAUUUAUCAGUGUGUUGUUGAAAGUUCAUGUUAAAAAUGGACCAAAUUUGUCCCUGCAUGCCAAA
Non-coding RNA from Triticum urartu, 873 nucleotides. The record is from RefSeq and is a predicted model, not a curated record. Lineage: Eukaryota; Viridiplantae; Streptophyta; Magnoliopsida; Poales; Poaceae.